RNAcentral lists this ribosomal RNA (580 nucleotides) under uncultured bacterium. Its description in RNAcentral is "bacterial SSU rRNA". It matches the Rfam family "Bacterial small subunit ribosomal RNA", at positions 216 to 794 of the family's 1533-position model. The record is from RNAcentral.
CGGAUGGGGAUAGGCUCGCGUGACAUUAGCUGGACGGCGGGGUAACGGCCCACCGUGGCUACGAUGUCUAGGGGUUCUGAGAGGAAGGUCCCCCACACUGGAACUGAGACACGGUCCAGACUCCUACGGGAGGCAGCAGUGAGGAAUAUUGGUCAAUGGGCGGGAGCCUGAACCAGCCAUGCCGCGUGAAGGCGAGUGCCCUACGGGCGUUAAACUUCUUUUGUGCGGGAGCAAUAAGGGCCACGCGUGGCCCGAUGAGAGUACCGCACGAAUAAGCAUCGGCUAACUCCGUGCCAGCAGCCGCGGUAAUACGGGGGAUGCGAGCGUUAUCCGGAUUUAUUGGGUUUAAAGGGUGCGUAGGCGGCGCUUCAGGUCAGCGGUGAAAUACCGGGGCUCAACCCCGGGGCUGCCGUUGAAACCGGAGCGCUAGAAUUCCGAUGCCGUCGGAGGAAUGUGUGGUGUAGCGGUGAAAUGCAUAGAUAUCACACAGAACACCGAUUGCGAAGGCAUCUGACGAAUCGGAGAUUGACGCUGAUGCACGAAAGCGUGGGUAUCGAACAGGAUUAGAUACCCUGGUAGU